UGAAACAAGGAUCGUAUCGCUCUGUUGUUGAAUGGACCAAAAGAGAAACAAAUCUUUCCUACUGAUGAGUCAACAGGGUCAACAGAAGGUAGGCUCUGAGGGUCAGUCCCUCGUUCAUCCCGUUAUGAUUAUGUUUUCAGCCAAUUAUGAUUGCAUGUCUACUUACAUUACAUAUAUAAGUAUUAAUAUACGCCUACUAUAUGAUAGCUAGAAAAUGUAUUAGCUAAAUAACAUUAGCCUGCCUAGUUGGAACUUCCGAAGAAGGAAAAUGUUUUAUUUAUACAUUUUCCAAAAGCUAACCAAACAAAAACAUUACUUUUAUGAGACAUGUUUAUGCCUUCAUGUGCAUUAGUAGCACAAUUUCUGACUUAUUUAACAUUCGUUUUUACUUACACGUGUAUGUUGACUCCAUAUGUUGUUUUAAUUUUUGGCAUACUUUUCUUAGUGGAUGUACAAUCGCCGCGAAUUGAAUUAUGGGGAGUUUCAGGCCCCGAAGUGAACAUAAUUGUACACAAGCUUUUUUUUAAAUGUUUUUAAUUUAAAUUAGAUUUUUUAUUAACAACAAAUCAAUACAUAAAGCACAUGAGGGAACACAAGCAUACAUAGAUUACAAACACUCGUCUAAAAAUGAGAGGCUGACGUUGCAAACUUCCCUUGCUAAUCAUUUGAACCGCCCACCAAGAUGGUGACGGGGAUUCCCCCAAGGGCAUAAAGCGAGGGUCUCUUUUCUGAAUUGGAACCGCAAACGUCGUGUCUCGUUGAAUGACAACAGACUUUACUGAAUAAUCUCUGCUAUUGAUCAAUCACCGACGAUCACCGAACAACAUUCAAAAACGUCACAAUUGUCAUAAUAUAAACACAACAUUCCGAACUGUUUCGGUUUGUAAGCAUGUGGAUGGAUGCUUUCAGUCUUGGCAGCAACCACUCCUGAUUGGUGGAGUAGUUUGAUAGCCUGGUCCCCGAUCAGUUUGUCCUCUUUUGCCACUGUUGGUAAGACAAUGACCACAGGAGUGGGCAACAUGGCAUAAACAGAUCUGGGACCAGGCUAGCCGUUUUUGAUGAUACUGGUAUUCAGGCAAAGCUUUGACUGUGAAAUCAAUUUGUUUUCUUCAGGUCUCUUGUUAAUAUGUUGUGUAUUUACACUAUUUAUUAGUGGAAUCCAUUUUUUUUUAUUUUACAAGAUUGUAAAUUAACACGAGGCUACAUCAAGGAUCAUGAAUUGUUGUUUUCACAGAUAACAGUCCAUGAUUAGUGAGAUAAAUGUGUAGUUAUGUUUCAGUAGAGGUGACCCGAGCGACCAUAGUUAGGAGGGGUAUCACAAACAGAGCUGGGACCAUCUUGCUGGUAGUUAUGAUGUAGCCUCGGAAGCCCAGGAUCGGAUCGAUCUGGAAGUUAGAAUUUGCAAGACUAAUUUAUGUCCAUCUCCCGUAGAGACUGACUAGCUGAUGUCCAUCUCCACUAGAGACUGACUAGCUGAUGUCCAUCUCCACUAGAGACUGACUAAUUUAUGUCCAUCUCCCGUAGAGACUGACUAGCUGAUGUCCAUCUCCACUAGAGACUGACUUGUUGAUGUCCAUCUCCUGUAGAGACUGACUAUCUGAUGUCCAUCUCCACUAGACUGACUAGCUGAUGUCCAUCUCCACUAGAGACUGACUAGCUGAUGUCCAUCUCCACUAGAUACUGACUAGCUGAUGUCCAUCUCUAGUAGACUGACUAGCUGAUGUCCAUCUCCACUAGAGACUGACUAGCUGAUGUCCAUCUCUAGUAGUCAAAGUUUGCCCUUUAGUAUCUAGAAUCUAUGGGUGUCAGGGUUUUAUAUUUCACUCGGUUACCACAUUCGCCACUAUCACUAAGUUCUGUUCACCGUAUGUUGCUGGGAAUAAAUAAAAAAUAUUUAUUAUCUGUGAUCACAUUUUAUUCUCUACUAACCUGUAUUCAAUCAUUUUAAAGAAAGAAAUGACAGAAAUUCUGUUUGAUACAGAAACAUUUAUUUUAAAGUUGGGAGAGUUGGGAGAAUGACUCAAAAUGGCUGGAUAGAAAAUAUGUGAACAGUUACUGUCUC
Molecule: non-coding RNA, 2062 nt
Organism: Oncorhynchus mykiss (rainbow trout)
Lineage: Eukaryota; Metazoa; Chordata; Actinopteri; Salmoniformes; Salmonidae
Source: RefSeq, a predicted model, not a curated record